Molecule: ribosomal RNA, 779 nt
Filed under: uncultured Neocallimastigales
Lineage: Eukaryota; Fungi; Neocallimastigomycota; Neocallimastigomycetes; Neocallimastigales
Description: partial large subunit ribosomal RNA
Rfam family: Eukaryotic large subunit ribosomal RNA
Source: RNAcentral
UAUCUCUGUAGAGUCUGCAUAUCAAUAAGCGGAGGAAAAGAAACUAACUAGGAUUCCCUUAGUAACGGCGAGUGAAGCGGGAAGAGCUCAAAUUUGAAAUCUUCAAGGUUUUACCUUAGACGAAUUGUAGUUUAAAGAAGUGUUUUCUGUUGGUGUUUUGGUAAAAGUUCAUUUGGAAUAGGACAUCAUAGAGGGUGAGAAUCCCGUAUUUGACCAUUACUUCCAGCGUUGUGAUACACUUUCAAAGAGUCGGAUUGUUUGGGAAUGCAGUCCAAAAUGGGUGGUAAAUUUCAUCUAAAGCUAAAUAUUGGCGAUGAGACCGAUAGCGAACAAGUACCGUGAGGGAAAGAUGAAAAGAACUUUGAAAAGAGAGAUUAAACAGUACGUGAAAUUGUCGAAAAGGGAAGCGUUUGACACCAGUGUUGUUUUCUCGAAAAUCAAUUAAAAAAAGUUGGAUUUUGUAUUGUUAAGACCUUAUCAGCUUACUGUACUCUUUUCUUGCUUUUUUUAAUGCACUUUUCGUUUAACAAGUCAACAUCAAUUUCUUUUGUUGUAAAAGAGUCAUUGGAAGGUGGCUUUCACUUCGGUGAAAGUGUUUAUAGCCUUUGGCUUCUGCAAUCGGAGAGAUUGAGGUCUGCAGCGUAGAUCCUUCGGGGCUAGAUACGUAGAUGCUAAGUUAUAGUUUUUUAUAGACAACUUGUUGACUAUAAUUAGUCAUGUAGCUUACUCGUUUGCGCUAUUUUACCUACGCUUAGGAUGUUGACGAUCAGCUGAGCGCG